Molecule: RNA transcript, 8244 nt
Organism: Globicephala melas (long-finned pilot whale)
Lineage: Eukaryota; Metazoa; Chordata; Mammalia; Artiodactyla; Delphinidae
Gene: TDRP
Gene name: testis development related protein
Source: RefSeq, a predicted model, not a curated record
GCGUCCGCGCUGCGGGCCGGCCGAGGAGGGGCGCGCACGGACGCACGGACGCCGGCGCCCGCCCGGGAGCAUGUGGAAGCUGGGCCGGAGCCGGGUGCUCCUGGACGAGCCCCCCGAGGAGGAGGAUGGCCUGCGGGCGGGGCCGCCGCCCUCCGUCGCCCCCGCCGCCGCCGCUGCCGCCGCCGCCGCUGCCGCCGCGCAGGUUCAGGGAGCGAGUUUCCGAGGCUGGAAAGAAGUGACUUCACUGUUUAACAAGGAUGACGAGCAGCACCUGCUGGAAAGAUGUAAAUCCCCCAAGUCCAGAGGAACUAACUUACGAUUAAAAGAAGACUUGAAGACGGAGAAGAAGUCUGGAUUUUGGGACAAUUUGGUUUUGAAACAGAGUACACAGUCUAAGAAACCAGAUGAGAUCGAAGGUUGGGAGCCACCAAAACUUAUUCUUGAAGACGUGGCAGCCAACUCGGGCGACCCCAUGAGUGACCGUCUGUCCGGGCCGGGCUGGGAAGAGGACGCCAGGGGCUCCACCAAGUACACCAGCCUGGCCGGUGCCGGGAACAGCUCGCGCUGGAGCCUCAGGUCAGCGGGGAAGCUGGUCAGCAUCCGUCGGCAGAGCAGAGGCCACCUGACGGACGACUGGGAGGAGCUGGAGUGACGGCCCCACUCCUGCGAGUUCACAAACCAAGGUCUGCCUGAUUUUGCACCUUUGUAUCUCAUUUCAUUCAGAUUCCUAGAGUUUGCUGUAUCACAGUGUGUUUUUAGUAGAGUAUCAAGUUUGGUCUUUCCCUGAUGAAAACUGCAGAGAAUCUGCCCUGUGCUGUUUUAUUUGGACUCUCCUCUUCAAAUGCUUACUUAGGAAAUUCCUCAGUGGACACGAACAGGGACCGCACAUCAACUGCCUUAUGUGGAAACGUCCUCCUGUCGUCCACGUGUUGCUGAGACUGGAGACGUGAGGUUUGCUGCUGUCCGGGAGGAGCGCAGUGUGGCCUCUUCUGGAGAGAAACCCUGACCUCCCUUAGGGACUGGAUGACCACGAUGCCGUCUCAAGCCAGGUGACACGUCCGAGUCCCACCACCUUCCUUUCCCGUGGUGUGCGUGUUUCUGCCUUUCCCUCGCUGGUCUCCUGGCCUGUCCCUGCCCUCGUCCCCUCUUCCUCCCCUCCCCCCCACCUCACCCACUCCUGCUCCCGUCCUGCUCUACACCUGCCUCUGGGGGCGUGUGCUUCCGCUGGUGGUUUCAGACCCUGAACCUCAGGUGCUCACUCACAGACAUACGUCACCAGAUAUUUUCUGACUGUUGUCACAGGCCGGGGACUUUCUCUUCUUUCUCCCCAUUUACUUCUAGCCAUUUGUAUAUAUAUAUACUUUCUAGUUUUUAUGGUUCUCAGUUGAUAUUUGAACAAAAGAAGGGCAGGACACUAUUUAAUAAGCUUUAAAGAAAUGAAUUGGCUAAAAAUUUAACUUUGUGAUAAAAUAGUCCAAAGGGGGGUACAGACGGUGCUGAAUGACUAACCAAGGGACCUGCUGCUGCCACUGCUUUCUUUUGGCAGAAGAGCGGUUCUGGGUGAUGGAUGCGGGGCAGGAACGCCCUCCGAGGGGGUUUCCCAGCGCCUGUGCCCUGAGGACAGGCACCGUCACUUCCUAGUAGUUGCCGCUUCACCACAAGGGUCUGAUGGGGCUGUGACCCACACGUGAUGCUGUCGUGGUGAGUGCGUGUCCUCACGGCUGUGUUCUGUAGUUUGUAAUCGUGGAUACAGGACCCAGCCUGGUCCAGAACUGUCUGCAGGGCACCUCCUGGGUCGCAGGGUCCCUUGGGGCUCCUGGGGCAGGGGGGUGGGGUAGGGGGGUGGAUGGCCACAUCCUGUCCCAGCCUGGUCCACUCGGUGCUGGCCAGCUGUUAACGUUCAGCCAGCUGAAUGCACCUGUUUUCAGAAAAAGCGCUACUUUGUAACCUAAAUGGCUUUCGAUUCAUGUUGUGCAGAGUCACGUUGCAAUGAAAAAUUACCAAUCUUCACUAAUAGCAGAACAAAGUGAUGAACUAUUGAUAGAUUUUGCCCACUGUUGAAAAAUGUAAAAUUUCUACUGAAAGAAGCCGUCUCAGGAUUUGGAAAAUAUUUGAGCUGUGUCCUUUAGUAACAGGGUGAUGAACGCAAAGGUGACCCCCAGGGUGUGAGGUGUCACAUGGGUCUAGAAGGAAAGCCCCGCAUAGCUGGGUAGCACCCCGGAUUUGGUGCCCCUGAUGAGGUGAUCGUGUUACCCUGGAAACAGUGGCCCAGCACCCGACUUUCCUCAAACCCACGGGGAGAAUGACGUGGCAGACGAGACCUUUUAACGGUUGCAUUCGGAUGAGGGAUUGCAGGUGACUUUCACCUCUAUGUUUUUCACGCCUUCUGGGGUAUUUUGAAAAAUCAGUUAGACAAGCGUACAGACCGUAUUAACAAGCAAACCAGCUCCGCUCUGGGUUUUUCUAACCAUGUCGUCUCCCCGCUGUGUUCGCACAAGGACAGGUCAGGGCGCUGCGGCUGGGCCUGAGGUCAUGGGAAGGUGAGGUGUGGCCGGGCCAGCCCUGCAGGGGGCCCUGACCCGCUCGGUAGUGAAGCCAUGGGGGUAAUAAACCGAAAAUUGGCUUCUUCCCUGUGAGGAAGAGGCCGUCUUUUCUGACCGAGUGUCUGUGUUCCAGUUCCCAAGUGGCGACUCUAGCCUUCAUGCAGAAAUUCUGAAUUUAGAAAUGGUGGCUUUAAACAGAACAGCAAGGGAGAGAUGACACGUGGCUGUGGCGUGUGCAUCUGCCUCGCGGGGGGAGGGCGGUGAGGAGACCUCAGACUCUGGCGUCGGGCGAGGGUCUCAGGCGCCGUCCACUCCACUCCCUGGUGCCGCCCGGCCUCCUGCGGGGCACCUGGUCCAUCGGGGCUCCCAGAGGCGGUGCCGCUGCGCCCGUUUCCCAGAUGAUCAGAGUGAGGCUCCGAGGGUAUUUGUGCCCAGGCACUCAUUGGACCAGGAGCUGAGAUCCAGGUGGGGAAGCCGGAGGCACCUGCUGUUCUGAGGGGUCUGACGUGUCCCCAGCACUGGUUGGGGGUGCAGGGCCUGGCUUCAGACUCACAGGGACGGGGUCUAAAUGCUGGCUUAGACCUCGGGAGGCCACACAGUUUGUCCCUCGUCGCAGAAGGCGUGGCUGGACAGGGUGUGGCUGGCAUGGAAUGCGGUGGUGAGGGCCAGGCGAGGCUGCGGGGCGUCGGGGCAGGUGUCCCCACCUGGCGGUCCCUCCUGGACGGGUGGAGCCCCCUGCCCGUAUGCACCGGGCAAACGUUUUCAUGAAGCGGACGGAGCAUGGGAUUCAGUGGGGUGAGGAGGCCGUGUAGCUGGUGGACGGGAAGCUGAGAGGCUGGCAGAGUUUGGGAGACGUUCCUGGGGCAGCAGGGGUGCCAGGGCCUCGGAGCGGGAGGUUACUCCAGAUCUGCAGGCUCUGCGAGGCUGGUUCAAGGAAAGGGGCUCCUCCUGGACUAAGCUUUUCGCACCUGUCAGCCACCCAGGGUCCCGAUGGUGAGGAAGCCAGCGCCCAGCUUCCGUGCAUUCACAGCUCAUCCAGGAGAACCAUCCCCAGUGAAACAGUCAUUCUCCUUUUAACAACAGGAAAGGCCACGCUCGGCUGUGAACAAGAGUCCCCACACCUCGGUCACUCUGUGGGUCCUGAGGAAUUGGGGGCCCCCGGGUCUCAGUGUGUGUGGGAGUGUUAAGAGUUGUGCUUUUUCUGUACAGCGUGUGCCACUCCUGAGCCCGGUAGCAGCAGGCAUGUGCAAGGGAGGCCAGAUUACACCUAAACCUCUAAGUGGUGGUUAUUUUUCAUAAUUAACCCGUCACAUUUCAAUUUGGAAGUGACAGGCAUUUCAGUUUUUAAAAACUGUAUUAUGGAAAAUAUCUAUGCAAAGGUAAGAACAGUGCAGUGGGCAACUCAGCCACUGAGAUUCCACAGUUGCUGAACGUGUCAUAUUUGCUUCACGUGUGUUUUACCUGAUAAACGAUUUCAAGGCUGAGAUAUAUAUUCACCACUUAAAAGUAAAUUACAGACAUCGUGACGUUUCGCUCCUGAAUGCGUACAGCAUGCAUUUCUAAAAACGAAGCUAUUCCCCCAGCAUAACUAACUACUACGUCAAUGGCACACCUCACAAAAUUAACCAUUCCCUAACAUCAUCCGAUACCCAUAGAUACAGCCAGGUUUUCCCAGUUGUCUGGAAAAUGUCCUUUUAGCUGCUUUUAAUCUUGUCCUCAAGACCACGACAUGGUGUGUGCAUUGUGCCUGGCCUGCUGCAGGGGCUCAGCCGAUACUCAGGUAGGUGUGAAAUGUGGGCAUGGGGAUGACAGGUUCCCUCCCGCCUCGCCUGCCUGCAGUUGCCUCUCUCCGCCUGCAGGAAUGUGUGUCUGGGGACUUGCUUCUGUACAAAUCCACCGCUUUGUGCUGGGUUCUGAUACUCAAGAGUCCUUUCUCUGGGUAUCGGCCAAGUUUCUGAUUCUGUCCCAGGCCUCUGUCAUCUGUCUUCUGGUCGCCAGUCUCCCUCCAGGGUCUUUGGCCUCAGUGAAGUGGUGGACAAGUUUAUAUAAUUAGAAGUUAAUGUCUCAGCAUGACUUUUCAGAAUUGCAGAAUUUAGUGAUAAAGGCAGGGUAGAAUUUUAGCUUUCAAGAGAGUUGAAUAAAUCUGGAAGGGGGUGGUGAUGGGAAAAAUAUCAUUUGCUUUGAGUUUUCUUUCUGAGAAGUAUUUCUUUCUUUAGAGGCUAGGGUUUCAAAAUUCUCUUCUCCCUAGAAACUUAGAACUGGCUCAGUAAGCUAGCAGGAGGAUGCCAAGAAUUUUUGUUCUGUAAGAAAUCUCCAAAGCUCAACAUGCAGAAGCACCUGGAAGACCAGUUUCCCUUGGGAACCAGUGAGCAGGACCCAGAUGAGGGCAUUGCUCUCCCCCAGGAGAUACGCAGCUCUAUUCUAGUACUUCGCUGUUUCUCUCACUUUAUAAUUUUGGGUGCUUACAGAUCUUCAAAAGGCAAUGUGAGAUAAAAUACUGGAAAGAUAUCAAAAUGUAAGUAAUUACCUUGAAGUAGAAUUAUGGGUAGCAUUUUCUUUUUUUUUGUAUAUUGGCUUUUUAACAAAACUUUUUACAGUGAAUAUAAUUACUUUUGUGAUAAAAAAAACAGGGCGACAAAUGUUGUUGAAAAAGUAACACCUCAGUUUUUAAAUGGAAAAUAGCAAACAUAUCCAAAAGAAGAAACAAAAUUAUAUAAAUCAUGGGCUGGCACACUACAGCCUGGUGGACAACUGUGGCCGUCCCCCUGUACUUACUUAUAUGGCAUACAAGUUAAGAAUGUUUACAUUUUCAAAUGGUAGAACAACUUAAAAGAAUAAUAUACUGUGACACAUGAAAUCCCACAGAGUUUAAUUGGAACACUCGCUAUCAAUGUCCCCCACGCAGCUGAAGUCUGAGUUACGUAUAGAUUGUCUAUGGCUGCAAGAGAGAAUGUGGGCCCUGGAAAGCCAAAAAUAUUUAACACCUGCCUCCUCACAGAAAAUCUGCUGAACCCUGGUGAAAACUCCUUCAUGUACACAUCCUUCCCCUCUACAGUUUUCAGCUCCUGGCCAGUCUUGUUUUAUCUUUAGUCACCCCCUAGCCUCAACCAAGAGAAUUAACUAUGUUAAAGUAAAUCCCAUAAUCCUGUAAUUUCAUCAUCUUCAUGUUGUUUAAAUUAAAAAGUUGAGAAUUUAUCAAGAAGAUGUAAUAAUCAUAAACAUACAUGAACAAACAUUAGAGCUUCUAAACAUAUGAAGCAAACACUGAGGAAAGAAGAGCCAGCUCUAUAUUAUAGUAGGAGACCCCAAUACCCCACUUCAAGAAGAGACAAUAUCCACCAUUAGAUCAAUCAAUUUAAUACACGUUAUCAUACACAGAACAAAGGAAAAACAUGAUCAUUUCAAUUGAUGCAGAAAAAGCAGUUGACAAAAUUCAACACCCUUUCACGAUGGAAAUACUCAACUAAUUCUGAAUAGAAGGAAACUGCCCCAACAUUAUACAGCCAUAUAAAAAGUCCCAGCUGACACCCUCUCAAUGCUGAAAGACUGAAAGCUUUUCCUCUAAGAUCAGGAACAAGACAAAAUGCCCACUCUCACUACUUCUGUUCCACACAGAUUGGAAGUCUGCACCAGACAGAGCCAUCUGGGCAAGAAAAAGAAAUAAAGCAUCCAAAUUGGAAAGGAAGUAUUAAAAUUUUCUGUUUGCAGGUGGCAUGAUCUUACAUGUAGAAAAUCCUAAAGACAACAAAAAAAUCAACAUACAAACAUCAGUUGCAUUUCUAUACAAUAACAAUGAAAAAUCCAAAGAGGAAAUUAAGAAAAUUUCAUUUUUUAAUGGCAACAAAAAGAAUAAAACACUUAGGAAUGAACUGAGUGAAAAAAGGCUGAAAGAAAAAGACACAAAUAAAUGGAAGCCAUCCCAUGUUCAUGGAUUGGAAAACUUCCACCCAAAGCAAUCUAUAAAGUCAAUACAAUCCCCACCCAAGUCAUAAUGGCAUAUUUGGUCAAAUGAUUUUCAACAAGGGUGCCAAAACCAUUCAGUAGGGAAAGGACAGUCAACACAUGUUGCUGGGAAAACCACAUAUCCACAUGCAGACGAAUGAAGUUGGAUCCUUACCUUAUUAUGCUAUGUGCAAAAAUUAAAACUAUAAAACUCUUAGAAGAAAACAUAGGGAGAAAGCUUCAUGACAUUGGAUUUGGCAAUGAAGUCCUGGAUAUGACAAAAUGUGCAGGCACCGAAAAAAAGAAUAGAGAAAUCGGACAUCAAAAUUUAAAACCUCUGUGCGUCCAAGGACACAGUCAACAGAGUGAAAAGGCAACCUAGGGAAUCGGAGAGAACAUUUUCAAGUUGUCUAGCUGAUAAGGACUUAGUGUCCAGAGUUGUAGUAGUUCUUUCUAUAUUCAACAACAAAGCCACAUACAACUCAAUUAAAAAGAGGGCAAAGGACCUGAAUAGACAUUUCCCCAAGAAAGACAUAUAAACAGCCAACAAGCACAGGAGAAGAUGCUCAACAUCACUUCUCAUCAGGGAAAUGAAAAUCAAAGCCAUAAUGAGAUAUCACCUCCCAACCAUGUGGACAACUACUAUAAAAAACAAACAAAAAAAGCCCAACCUCACAAGAUAACAAGUGUUGGUGAGGAUGUAGAGAAACUGGAGCCCCUGGGCACUGUUAGAGGCUGCACCAUUGUACACUCCCACCAUGGAAGAUAGUACGGUGGUUCCUCAAAAUAUUAACUAUAUAAUUAGCACAUGAUCCAGCAAUUCCACUUCUGGGUAUACAUUCAAAAGGAAACGAAACCUUUAUCUAGAAGAGAGAUUUGUACACCAUGUUCACAGCAGCCCAAAGGUGGAAGCAACCCAAGUGCCCAUCAACAGACAGAGAAACAGAAAUGUGGUCCAACCACACAAUGGAACACUAUUCAGCUCACAAGUGAAGGAAAUCCUGAGCGAUGCUACAACACGGAUGAAAAGACAACUACUUUAUGAUUCCAGUUACAUGGUGUGUCUACAGCAGUCAGAUCCAUAGAGACAAAGUAGAUGGUGGGGGCCAGAGGCUGGUGGGUGGGGAAGGGGAAUUAGUGUUUAAUGGGGACAAUUUCUGUUUGUAGAGAUAAAAAGUGUUCUGUAGAUGAUGGUGGUGGUGUUUGCACAACAAUGUGAAUGUACCUAAUGCCACUGGACUGUACACUGAAACAUGGUUAAGAUGGCAAAUUUUAUGUGUAUUUUACUGCAAUUAAAAUUUUUUAAUGACAUUUGAAUUUUCUAUGUAGAUUAAAUAGUAAAAAGCUACUUGCAUUCGUCUGUGCAAAUUUCUCAAAUGACUGUCAAAGAAAAGUGAAAAUUUUAUCCAAAUAAUAAAAACAACAUAGUUGAGGUGUCUCUCCUGUCUGACACAGAAGAACAAACACCGUGUGUGGAGAAUCUCGCCAUCCUGAGCGAGAGACACGUGAAAAGCCCUCUCGCGUCCUCAGGUGGCUGUGCUCUGAGCACCUCUGUUCUCCAUGUGGGCCUGAGUCGGUGCUGGGGGUGGGGAGGGCAGCAGAACCCCCAGGAAUACGCCUGAGAGAUGCAUGUGCCAAUGACACCCAGAAGGUGCUGGCGAGGGGGCACUGCAGUCACACCUGUGCGGUGGGAAGGAGCAGGCCACACCAGCCAUAGCAGGGGUCGGGAAGGUGCACGUGGCACGUCCCUGCUGGGAUU